Molecule: ribosomal RNA, 936 nt
Filed under: Priestia endophytica
Lineage: Bacteria; Bacillati; Bacillota; Bacilli; Caryophanales; Bacillaceae
Description: bacterial SSU rRNA
Rfam family: Bacterial small subunit ribosomal RNA
Source: RNAcentral
GCGGGCCUAUACAUGCAAGUCGAGCGGAGAUUUGAAAAGCUUGCUUUUCAAAUCUUAGCGGCGGACGGGUGAGUAACACGUGGGCAACCUGCCCUUGAGACGGGGAUAACUCCGGGAAACCGGAGCUAAUACCGGAUAACACAUAUCUUCGCAUGAUGAUAUGUUAGAAGGUGGCUUUUAGCUACCACUCAAGGAUGGGCCCGCGGCGCAUUAGCUAGUUGGUGAGGUAACGGCUCACCAAGGCGACGAUGCGUAGCCGACCUGAGAGGGUGAUCGGCCACACUGGGACUGAGACACGGCCCAGACUCCUACGGGAGGCAGCAGUAGGGAAUCUUCCGCAAUGGACGAAAGUCUGACGGAGCAACGCCGCGUGAGUGAUGAAGGUUUUCGGAUCGUAAAGCUCUGUUGUUAGGGAAGAACAAGUAUCUGUUGAAUAAGCAGGUACCUUGACGGUACCUAACCAGAAAGCCACGGCUAACUACGUGCCAGCAGCCGCGGUAAUACGUAGGUGGCAAGCGUUGUCCGGAAUUAUUGGGCGUAAAGCGCGCGCAGGCGGUUCCUUAAGUCUGAUGUGAAAGCCCACGGCUCAACCGUGGAGGGUCAUUGGAAACUGGGGAACUUGAGUGCAGAAGAGGAGAGCGGAAUUCCACGUGUAGCGGUGAAAUGCGUAGAGAUGUGGAGGAACACCAGUGGCGAAAGCGGCUCUCUGGUCUGUAACUGACGCUGAGGCGCGAAAGCGUGGGGAGCGAACAGGAUUAGAUACCCUGGUAGUCCACGCCGUAAACGAUGAGUGCUAAGUGUUAGAGGGUUUCCGCCCUUUAGUGCUGCAGCAAACGCAUUAAGCACUCCGCCUGGGGAGUACGGUCGCAAGACUGAAACUCAAAGAAUUGACGGGGACCCGCACAAGCGGUGGAGCAUGUGGUUUAAUUCGAAGCA